GCGAUUCGUGACGUGUCAAGUCGUGUUCCCAAAUCAGUGCGUUUUUUGACUUUUAUCUUUCUUAAAAUAUUCAUCUAAAGAUUCUUCCGGAUAUCUCUGAAAGUCUGUGAUUGUUCUUUCGGAGUCAGUGUGAAGAAAAGUGAUUGUUGGACGUUUUGGAGACAAGGUGGACACGGUGGACAGUAUCCUGUCCGUCACUGUGGAGUGGGAAAUACUGGAAAACCCAGAAAACUCUGAUUUGUAUCUUCACUGAAUUCUCCCAUCAAACCACCUAAUUCUCACCAUCCCAUCAGUCUUCAACAGAAGAAUCUCAGGCUACUCUGAUUUUGAGUCACAAUAUGGUUCAAAAAAUGUUCGUGUUAAACUGACGUCACUUCUUCAGAAAAUUGACUAGGAAUACCCUUUCUUACCCGAUGCCAGACAGAAAAGGAACAGCGAAAUCAUUGAUGAGUGGACGACAUCGGUCCAGGGAUUUUUGAAAGUCCUUUCGUUUUUCCCACCUGUGAACACUGAUGCGAACAAGCAAAAAGCAACUGUUAAGGACUCCUUGUCGUCUUUUAUAAUAUUCUUUCCACUGGGCACUCCACCUUCGGAAACAAUGGACGAUAUUAAUAAAAAAGGUGAAGGAAUACAAUUCUUCGCGGAUGGUUCCAACAAAAAGGCCAUUUCAAAUUUCUACUUGAAGUUGGACGACCUCAUCUUGAAGAUCAAAGCUAUACAUUUUAUUGGUGCAUUUGAUUUCAUUUUUAAAGUUCAUUUCGCUCUCAACAUUUAUUUUAAAAACUGCCACUCCAAUUUUUAUAAGUUAAUUUAGCAUUAUAUUUAUGGAAUUUCUCUCCAAAAGAUACCAGUUUCUUUAAAAUUUGUAGCAGCCCGUUGUAAUCUAAACUGAAAAAAUCAAUUGAUAAUGCAAUAAUGUAACUAAAAAUCUUAACCCUCUAAGUUCGAUUAAGUCACCCAAAGUUUUCAUUUUUAUUGACGAAAAUCGUCAAUAAAAAUGAAACCGGUAAACGUCUUACCUCUAACCUUGGAAAGUCCAACAGAGUCUUAUUUGGUGUAUUUUUCACAUUUAUUAACGAUAAGGACAAAAAUUGUCAAAAAAUUUAAGUAAUUUUUCUGACGAUACCAAUGAUCGAUUAAUUGUCGCUCUAAUGAAAAAUAUUACGUUUGAGUAUUGUAGUUUUUAUUCCUAAAAUGGUUUUACUUACAAAUAAUUGAAAGUAUGAAAAAUAAUUAAAAUCAAUUUUCAAUAUGAGAAUUUACAAAUCGUCAUUUUUUAGCUUAAAUAUUUACUACAAAGCAAGUAGCUAGAGACUUGAAAAAAAUAUUCUAGAUUCUUUCAACCUUUUACUUUACAAUUAUGUACAAACAUAAGUAAAAAUAACUAGAUAGUUAGGAAACAUUAUUUUCUUUAUAGGACACCGGUGUUUCAAUCGACCUUAAAGGGUUAAAAGAUUAAUUCGACUGAGCAAUGUAUGAAAAUAAAAUUAAAUUGUCUUUGUAAUAAAGUAGAAUU
Long non-coding RNA from Phlebotomus papatasi, 1516 nucleotides. RefSeq lists it as uncharacterized. The transcript has 4 exons. NCBI's taxonomy places the organism in Eukaryota, Metazoa, Arthropoda, Insecta, Diptera, Psychodidae. The record is from RefSeq and is a predicted model, not a curated record.